CCAAUAGCGUAUAUUAAAGUUGUUGCAGUUAAAAAGCUCGUAGUUGAAUUUCGGGAUCAGUGCGCUGGUCGUGCCUUCGGUAUGUACUGGUGUUACUGGUUCCUACCUUCUGACGAACCGUCAUGUCAUUAAUUUGGUGUGGCGGGGAAUCAGGACUGUUACUUUGAAAAAAUUAGAGUGUUUAAAGCAGGCUCGCGCUUGAAUACAUUAGCAUGGAAUAAUGAAAUAGGACGUUUGAUCCUAUUUUGUUGGUUUCUAGGAUUGACGUAAUGAUUAAUAGGGAUAGUUGGGGGCAUUAGUAUUCAAUUGUCAGAGGUGAAAUUCUUGGAUUUAUUGAAGACUAACUACUGCGAAAGCAUUUGCCAAGGAUGUUUUCAUUAAUCAAGAACGAAAGUUAGGGGAUCGAAGACGAUCAGAUACCGUCGUAGUCUUAACCAUAAACUAUGCCGACUAGGGAUCGGAUGAUGUUAAUUUUUUAAUGACUCAUUCGGCGCCUUACG
Molecule: ribosomal RNA, 500 nt
Filed under: uncultured Glomeromycotina
Lineage: Eukaryota; Fungi; Glomeromycota
Description: partial small subunit ribosomal RNA
Rfam family: Eukaryotic small subunit ribosomal RNA
Source: RNAcentral